This is an RNA transcript of Girardinichthys multiradiatus, 6000 nucleotides long. It is a transcript of the gene named transcription factor 20-like, with no coding region annotated. NCBI's taxonomy places the organism in Eukaryota, Metazoa, Chordata, Actinopteri, Cyprinodontiformes, Goodeidae. The transcript has 7 exons. The record is from RefSeq and is a predicted model, not a curated record.
UCGCUUGUCUUCCGGUGUGUCGGACAUAUAACCGCUGCCUUGACGCGGUUGGAAUACUGGUGUCCAUGAUGACAACUUGAAAAAUCCCCAACAUCAGUCAGAGCCGAGACUACCUGCUUGAUCCAGUUCGGUAAAAAUGAAAGCGGGCCCGGGUCCGUUCGGAAGCUACUUGGCGGGGCAACGUCCUCCGGCCGCCUGGCUAGCAUGAAGUGGGGCGGCCGCUGCUUUUGUUUACAUCCAGACCUGAUGAUGGGCCCGGAGAGGCGUGUUGGCUAACCCCGCUACCCGAGCUGCUUCCAGGGAAGGUGUCACCGGAGAACCCGCUCUGUUAGGACCGGGGAGUUCCGUCCAAACCUCCGCCGCCUGAAGGUGAUGGACGUAUCCUCCCAGGACCCACCUCUCAUGGCCAUGGACCUAUCGAAGAGCUACACCCCGCUGACCCGCAGCUGCACCGAAGCUGUGGACCUGGCCAAAAAGCCUGAGUGGUACCACCGACAGCCGGCGAACUGCAGCACAGAAUGCGCCUCCGCGUACAGAACCAGGCCCUCGUCCUCCUACAGUCCACUGUCCCAGCCGGGUGUCCCUGUCCGCUGCAGGGACAUGGAGCAGAGACCCGAGUCUUUAGGGAGCUACAUGAAUUCAACCCUGGCUCCAGGACUGGAUCUUUUUCACAGCAGAGUGCAUGACAACCUGUGGCACGGUGGUUACUACGGAACCGACCAAAGCAGGGGCCCAGUUCCUGAAAGCAGCGGUGCAGAGGAGAGCGACAGCGGCUCUGAUGUUAUCUUCCUGGUUUCCUCUGCGAAGGAGCCUCUUUUGUGUGGCUCUUUCAUCCAGGACAGCGUGAGGCACAUGGUGGAGCCGGUUUCCCCUGCCAUGUCCUCGUUGGACGAAGGAACAGGUUGCUAUCUUCUACCUCAGCCCAUGAGCUCACCGAGUGCCGACAGCUCGUACUCGGAAGACUCCUCGGACAGCUCUGUAGACAUUCCAGUACACCACACCAGGCCUGUGGUCCUCCUUUCUGACCUCAAUGGUGUUUACGGACACCCUGGUGAAUCCGUCGUGGGCGAUUCAAGUGACGAAAGCGACGUUAUUGAGGUGUCUGUCACUAACCGUGAGAAGGAAAGACACUGUUACAAGGAACAUCUGCGUAAAAAAAAGAGUGAGGGUGAAGAAGCGCCAUCUACAGAAGUGUGGUGCAGUGCCAGAGUUAGAAAAUCCGAGUCCGAAAUGCCUCGGUUAACCUGUGGUGUGUCACGGCACAGCUUGAGAAGACGAGUCAAAAACGACGCUGUGGGCAUUUAUAACGAAAGCAGUGACUCUGAGGAUUUGAUUGAGUAUGCUUUUAGGUUUUCCAGCUCGGAAGAAUCUGUCUCGCAGCCAAAUUUGCCACAAAAAGCGAGCAGCAAUUCAGAGGAAUCAAACGGGAACGUCCAAACUUGCGGGAAAUCUCCUCAGAAGGAAGCUCAAUUUGCGAAACUGAAUGACAAACGAAAAAACCCUCUCACUCUUACUAAAACGAAAAAGGUACGAAAAAUGAAGCAGAAGCCGGUCAGCAGAAUCCCACCGCCAGAGCAAGAGAAGGUUUAUCUCGGUAAGAGCACAGCAGUGAAAAAACAGGUUGCGAGACGAAAAAGAAAUAGGUGUCCUCAGACGGCACCUUCUGCUCUGUUUUCUCCCAGAGAACCUGAAAUCAUGCUCAAAUAUGCAAAAACUAAAGAUAAAAAGGAUAGAAAACCUGCCAUUUUCUGCCCAUUUGUUCACAUGGAGCAGCAGCUGUGCAGGGUGGUCAACUACAAGGAGGAGGAGGGGACAGUUUGCUGUAGCAAAGGAUGGCAGACGGUCUCCAAAUCUCUACCUGGGUUUGUUCCCUGCACAUCCUGCUUCCAGCUGGGUCGACCCAGCUUGGAUAGCAUCAGUCCGGACCAACUGUUGUGCUGCCUGUGUGGAUGGCCAGCUAACACCAUGGGCCUCGGGGAUCUUCAUGGCCCAUACUAUUCCUCGGUUUCUUCUAUAGACGGUCAGACGUGCAAAACUGAGCAGAACGAGGACUUGCAGAAACUCUCCAACGGCCAUUUGCUGCACUCCUCUGAGGACGACUGCACUCCUGAUAAAACGUUGCUCAGAAGCGACAAAAUCUCUUCCACAAAGGUGCCUCUUUGUCUAAACGAGACCUGGAUCCAUGAGGAUUGUGGCAUCUGGUCCGCCGGCGUCUUCCUUGUCCGGGGAAAGCUGUACGGAUUGGAGGAGGCUGCCCGAAUCGCACAGGAAACUAUUUGUUCAACCUGCCAUCAGACGGGUGCAAUAAUGGGUUGUUUCCAGAAGGGCUGCCUGAGGAAUUAUCACUACACAUGUGCCAUUCAGUCAGGCUGCAUCCUCAAUGAAGACAACUUUUCAAUGAGAUGUCUGGAGCAUAAGAACAAAAUCUUCCCACCUGCAGCCAGACAAGACAAGAGAUGACGCUGAAGACAUGCGGGGGCCAUGGAGGAUGGGGACGCACACAAACACUGAAGCACUGAGCCAGAACGCUCCACUGAUCUCCUCAGGGUGUGACGAGAGCUGUUCAGCUUCACCUCAACACUUUCCUAGUUCUAACAAACUCAAGCAGAGCUCGAGCAGCGGCCGGAGCUUUCAGUAAGGAUUCGCAGCUUCACUUGUCAUGACUGAAUCAGGGUCCACCUUAUUUAUUUAUUUUUAAAAUACUUUUUCCUUUCGUUUUGUUCCCUUUGUGUUCUUCGUUGAUGUUUAGCUCAGCUACUUACUUGGAUUAAACAGAUGUUUUUGUAUUUGUUCCUUUCUUGGAGAUCCUCACUUCAACUAGCUGCUAAAAACAACCGUUUAUUAUUUUAACAUAGGUAUUAUAUCAGAGUUUUAUUGACAGAACAUGUCUUAUAUAAGAGGCCACUUUUCUACAAGUUUUUGUACUACUUUUUUAUUCCUUUUAGUGCUUUAGUCGUAGUUAUAUUUCUCUUUGUUGCAUGCACACCUGAUAUUUGCUACAAUGCACUUUAUAUUCUAGUUUUCUAUCAGUUAUUUAGGUCUGUUCCGUCUUGUUCUACAAAAAUUAUUUACAUUUGAAAUAAAGCUGCACUAAGCUACAGUUAACCUGUAAAACUAUAUAUGGUUAUUGUUUAAAUGUGUUUUAACCUCCUGUCAUUAACUGGGACGUUCUGCAAAUUGCACCGAAUUGAUUUUCAUUUUUAAUGUUAAGUUUGGACACUUCUCUGUUUACUGGAUGUGGAAACCUGAUGGCAAAUAGCUCUUAGUGUUUAAUAAUUUAGUGUUUUUGGGGGGAAUUAGUAAACUGGAAGGGUCAACCACAACGUCCAACCAGUCAUUUAUUGUAAGGAGUCAUUUUUAAAAAGAGCUGUGGUGAUUUAAAAAAAAAAUCUUUUGUGCACCUAGCAGAAAGUGCUGAACUGGAAAUUGGAUACCAGCGUCUUAAAUUUGCAAAUUGGGGUGUUUUGGUUGUCUUCGCUAACUGAUUUAAACACCCUUACCCUUUGACCUCUAGACUAAACAGAAGUAGAUGGAAUUACAACUUAUGUUUUUUUCAUAAUUUAGAACUGUUUGUAGGGAUGGUAAUUAACAGUCUGUAGUGUUUAAAUAACUGGAAAGUGUCACUAAAGUACCUAAAUGCUAAAGAAAAUGUUUAAGUUUGUCAAUUUUCUUUUGACACUUUAUAAAGUGGGAAACUAUUCUCAGAUAAACACAUUUCAGCGAUGUUAAUAGACAGAAAUGAUUAUUUGGGAUACACAUAGUCAUCAGGAUUUUGAAAUAAAUCUGUUUAGAUUAUAAAAGCACCGAUCAGGCUUUUACUGGCCGAUACCGAUUUGAAGUUUUUGAGUUUUGACCUGCUUAAUCCGAGUUUCUUGCUUGGAGAUUAUCACCAAAUGAUUUGUGUAAACUGUGUUUCAUUCAACAAUUAAAUUUUCUCUAACUUCAUUGAGCUUGCUAUGUGUUGAUGCAUUUAUAGACUGAAAAACGUGGGACUUUUCAGGUUUGAUGAACAAGAAAAGGAUCUGAUUUUUCACUACCAGCGCUGCCGAUCACUAGUCAGACAUGAUCAAGCUCAAAUUUGGCCCGUUGGUUGUUGCAUCACUAUUUAAAAGGUCCUUCAGGUUUUCCAGUAAGGUUUUGUGGAAUACAUGGUAGUAGUCAAUACCUUACCUUCAGUGCACAGACGUCUCGGUUCAGAAAAAUUGCAGAAACGGUGAGAAAUUUUAAUAGAUAUGUUUCAUUUCUACGUCAUCAGACUGAGAGCCCACAUGGAUAUCAGUCUUAAAGGGAAAGUUCACAAUUUUAAUAUAUGGUUCUAAUAAAAGCUUACAUUAUUAGUCUACAAACCCAUUCAUUUAUUUAGAAUAUUAUUGAAAAGUUCAUUUAUUUCAAUAACUCAAAUCACAAAGUGAAGCGCAUUAUAGGUUAGGUUUUUUUAGCCUUUAUUGCUGUUAAUGAUGAUUUUUCUACUUACAGCUAAUUAAAACAAGAGAUUUAACAUCAGAAAAAUAAACAUUUAAUAAAGAAAUGUGGGCUUAAUGAAAAGUAAGUUUAAUACCUGCUUAAAGGUUAAUUUAAUCUAACAAACGAGCCUCAUCGGAACACAUAUUCUAAUGUACUAAAUACGUCUGUAUUACUUGCAUCCUGUGGAUAAUUAUCCACGUCUUCACGUAUAAAUCCAGACUAGUUGGUCCAGAGGCUGAAGCUAACUGUACUGUCAUCAUAGAAAUGUCAUCAGAGCAGUUUAUGCUUUAUCUCCAUUUCCCAUCUAAAUAACCCGCGGUUUCCGUUCUAAUAACUGCCCCCAACGUAUGACAUGACAAAAAUUUCAGGGUCCAGGUAAGAUAUUAACUGCUCAAAAUAUUUUCACUGAACCGCUCUAGAAAACCCAUGAAUCAUCAACCUACAGGUUUAAGCAGAUUUAAGCACUUCAACAUAAGGCUGUUUAAUUGGUCUCCUGAUCAAAGUCAAUCGUUCUGCACAAAAUAAAAUGUUCUGAAGGUUCUUUGAAAAUAAAGGAAGGAGUUUAGCCAGGGAGCCUUUCUGGCUGGAGGAUUGAAAAAAUGGCAACAGAAUGAGUCAUUUGAAGAACCUCAGCACAGAUGGUGUCAUGGAGUAGCAUGAAGAUUCAGAGGUGAAAACGGCAACAAACAAAAAUAUAUCAAGAACGGAGGUUUGCGAUCUGCUAAUGUAGCAUUGCCUCGCUGCUGAAUGAAAUGUUGGAGUCGUUCCAUGAGGUUGAAGUCUGCUCUACCAGAGACUCCGCUGAUUAAUCCUCCUGCCAAGGUAGUUCUCUGCCGUUCUCUACUGUGGGUAAGAUGCUGACUACUGAUCAUUAUCACACAAACCCUAAUUCCAAUAAAACUCCAAACAAUCCAUUUAAAUGCAAAUUAAACUUGAUGAUAAUAUACCUUUACAUUCCUGCUCGUAUAAAAAGCCGUUCCAUAACUAAUCAUUCUGACUAAAACAUUUUUAUAGAAACAUGAAAAAAAUAAGUUUCUAAUGUUGAUUUUAAAUGUUGUUUGAGUUGCUAAAAUAUCUAAACUGCCUCCCUGGAAACCGGUUGAUGGUGUUGCUAAGCAGCCACAGUAAUUAACAUCCUGUUGUUUUUGGACCCUUCAGCUCCCGCCUCACACUUUGCAAACGGCUGCUCUGAAAAAAAAAAAAAUAAAUAAAUCAGACGGCUCACUGUUUCCACCUCCUCAGGAUGAAGAGGUCUCCUCCUUCAUCCUCAGAGAAAAUAAAUGUCCUGCCAAACAAGGCAGCUGCAAAAUCUACUGUUGUGAUUUGGCUAAACUGACCUUUCUGUGUAUUUAAUAGAUCUUAGUGCAGCUUUAACUGUCCCAUAUUGUGAGUGUUUGUGUUUCAUUAUGUUGGAGUAAACUGUUUUUAUUUUAAGGGAUGUUUAAGGUAAAUGGUCUUAAAAUUUGGAUUAAUGCCUGCACUUUCUGUUAUUUGAGUAUAAAGAUAAACAUUAUUUAAUAAAAAGAAAUAAAGGUG